GAGGAAAAGAAACCAACAGGGAUUGCCUUAGUAGCGGCGAGUGAAGCGGCAAAAGCUCAAAUUUGAAAUCUGGCACUUUCAGUGUCCGAGUUGUAAUUUGAAGAAGGUAUCUUUGGGUCUGGCUCUUGUCUAUGUUUCUUGGAACAGAACGUCACAGAGGGUGAGAAUCCCGUGCGAUGAGAUGACCCAGACCUAUGUAAAGUUCCUUCGAAGAGUCGAGUUGUUUGGGAAUGCAGCUCUAAGUGGGUGGUAAAUUCCAUCUAAAGCUAAAUAUUGGCGAGAGACCGAUAGCGAACAAGUACAGUGAUGGAAAGAUGAAAAGAACUUUGAAAAGAGAGUGAAAAAGUACGUGAAAUUGUUGAAAGGGAAGGGCUUGAGAUCAGACUUGGUAUUUUGUAUGUUACUCUCUCGGGGGUGGCCUCUACAGUUUACCGGGCCAGCAUCAGUUUGGGCGGUAGGACAAUUGCAAAGAAAUGUGGCACUGCCUCGGUAGUGUGUUAUAGUCUUUGUCGAUACUGCCAGCCUAGACUGAGGACUGCGGCUUCGGCCUAGGAUGUUGGCAUAAUGAUCUUAAGUCGCCCGUCUUG
RNAcentral lists this ribosomal RNA (587 nucleotides) under Lodderomyces orthopsilosis. Its description in RNAcentral is "eukaryotic LSU rRNA". It matches the Rfam family "Eukaryotic large subunit ribosomal RNA", at positions 53 to 656 of the family's 3401-position model. The record is from RNAcentral. Lineage: Eukaryota; Fungi; Ascomycota; Pichiomycetes; Serinales; Debaryomycetaceae.